RNAcentral lists this transfer RNA (69 nucleotides) under Ambystoma tigrinum (tiger salamander). RNAcentral's name for it is "tRNA-Tyr". It matches the Rfam family "tRNA". From Rfam's summary of the family: Transfer RNA (tRNA) molecules are approximately 80 nucleotides in length. Their secondary structure includes four short double-helical elements and three loops (D, anti-codon, and T loops). Lineage: Eukaryota; Metazoa; Chordata; Amphibia; Caudata; Ambystomatidae. The record is from RNAcentral.
AGGUAAAAUGGCCGAAUAGGUGUAGAGUUGUAGCCUCUGGUUAUAAAGGUUUAAAUCCUUUUUUUAUCA